This 432-nucleotide ribosomal RNA is filed under the name uncultured bacterium. Its description in RNAcentral is "partial 16S ribosomal RNA". It matches the Rfam family "Bacterial small subunit ribosomal RNA", at positions 29 to 506 of the family's 1533-position model. The record is from RNAcentral.
AACGAACGCUGGCGGCAUGCCUAACACAUGCAAGUCGAACGAGACCUUCGGGUCUAGUGGCGCACGGGUGCGUAACGCGUGGAAACCUGCCCUUAGGUUCGGAAUAACUCCCCGAAAGGGGUGCUAAUACCGGAUAAUGUCUUCGGACCAAAGAUUUAUCGCCUUUGGAUGGGCCCGCGUUGGAUUAGCUAGUUGGUAGGGUAAAAGCCUACCAAGGCGACGAUCCAUAGCUGGUCUGAGAGGAUGAUCAGCCACACUGGGACUGAGACACGGCCCAGACUCCUACGGGAGGCAGCAGUGGGGAAUAUUGGACAAUGGGCGAAAGCCUGAUCCAGCAAGGCCGCGUGAGUGAUGAAGGCCUUAGGGUUGUAAAGCUCUUUUACCCGGGAUGAUAAUGACAGUACCGGGAGAAUAAGCUCCGGCUAACUCCGU